CGGGGUGUAGCGCAGUUGGCUAGCGCGCUGCGUUUGGGACGCAGAGGUCGGCGGUUCGAAUCCGCCCACCCCGA
RNAcentral lists this transfer RNA (74 nucleotides) under Chloroflexota bacterium. RNAcentral's name for it is "Chloroflexi bacterium (anaerobic digester metagenome) tRNA-Pro". It matches the Rfam family "tRNA". From Rfam's summary of the family: Transfer RNA (tRNA) molecules are approximately 80 nucleotides in length. Their secondary structure includes four short double-helical elements and three loops (D, anti-codon, and T loops). Lineage: Bacteria; Bacillati; Chloroflexota. The record is from RNAcentral.